RNAcentral lists this small RNA (363 nucleotides) under Arabidopsis thaliana (thale cress). Its description in RNAcentral is "ATSL286830". The record is from RNAcentral. Lineage: Eukaryota; Viridiplantae; Streptophyta; Magnoliopsida; Brassicales; Brassicaceae.
AAAGUUCCAUAGAAAUAUUGUAAAAAUAUGUUUAAUUCUAUAUAAAUUUCUAAAAUAAAAUAUCAAUACAAUUAAACUGAAAUAAAACUCUCUGUAACUUUGACACAUCAGCCUUUUUGUGUGAUGAGAAGGUGGCACAUCAUUAAAACAAGAAACCAAUCAAAACAUCACAAAUACUACACAUCACAUUAAUAUCUGCCACAUCAGAUUAAAUGGAUGAUUUCAGCUUGUUAGAAAUGAAAAAUUAAAAAGCUUGAAAAACCUGUAAAUUUCUCUUUGAUCUUUACGUCUUUACUUUCUCAGUCUCGUGUAUCUAUUUUGAAUAUUUGUAAUACUCGUAUCUGUUUUUAAAUUUAAUUUUAG